GGAGGCCUUAAUGCUAUCCUUUCCUGUGAAGCAGCCUGUUGACUAUCAACAGAUAUUAAUGCCAAUUCUCCAUGCUCAGCAAUUGCUCUUGACUGCAUCUCUUUAAGCCGUAUCUCUGCUUUCUUUCGUUUAGUUUCUAUAUCAAUAGGUGCAAUACCAGCAUCCACAAAACACACUCAAUGGUGUUGGUGUAGCAACAAAUAAUUGCCUUCUGUGCCAUACACCUCCAGUAGCAUAAGGAAUUGCAACAUCUCCUAGGUAUCGAAACUGAGGACGCAACGAAGAUAUGACAAUAUAUUGUUGGUAGGCAAAAGCACAAUAUUCAACAGUUUGAUCCCAUGCAGUCCAUUCAGGUUGAGGAAGAAGACCUCCCACUGGUUCAAAGGUUUCCCAGCUGUAAAGUUGAAAAUUAGGAGGUGCAGCUUCAGCAGUAGUUUUUUGUGAAGAAUAUCCAUCAUCCACGGUGCUGAAAGAAGAAUUGGGACUACUUCCAAAUCCUGACAAGGGCAUGGACUGAAUCGUAGAAAUAGAUGUGGCAGCAACAGGGCUUAUUCGUCGAGAUGUCCUAUAAGCAACACCAAGCAGUGCUCCCCCAUGCAACCCGGUAACUGGUUCACUCCGGCUACCAACUGAUCUCAUCAAAAUGUUGGAUGUGCCAUCAUCCAGCAAUAUCCGGACUUGGACACUGGCAGAUGAAGCUGCAGAAGCUGCAGCUGCAGCAGCUUGUGCAGCAGCAGCUGCAGCUUCCUUCGCUUCCGUGAUGAGCUGCCUUUAGGGAUUAUAGGCAUUCUGGGAGGUAUAGCAGACUCCAGCAAGGCGAAUCUAUCUCUACAAGUGUCCCAAGCCAAGAGCCUUGCACUACCUGAAUCAACAAUCGACCAGUCACUGAUCUUGUAAAUUGAGAAGUAGGGAAUAUCUGGCCACACAAUGGCAAGAAACCUGCAAAAAUAACACGGCAAAUCAAACAUAUCAACAUCACAGUUUCAGACUCAAGUAUGCAUACGUCACAGAUAAGGGCAAGAAAAAUACAGUCAUAAUAUUCAUAAUAAGUAUAUGUAACAAUUUUGAUUGGAAGAGUGCUGAAAAACACUGCCGUUCCUAUAUCUAAAGAGAGAUCAAUGCCUGAGCAGCAAUCACUACCAAGACAUGAAAAAAAAAAAAGACUACUUACUUUCCGGAACUGCUCACAGAAAGCACCGAGUAUGAAUCGUGUGGAACAGGAGUGCUAACNCCCUUUGUUUGUCUUUCAGCUGUAGGAAAAUAUUCGCUUGGAUUUCAUUUCUUCGAAUGAUUUCGGACUCCUCAAUUCCAUGCUCUUCAUCUUUGUGGUCAAGAGUUUGCAAUUCAGUCUUCAAAACCUGUAUCUUCUCAUCAAUAUUCCCAAAAGUGGAUUUAUUCCAUUCUUUCAGUUCCGUUUUCAAUUUCUUCAAUUUUUCACUGACCACAAAGCAUCUCCAUCCCGUCAUUCCGUCCGCUGUCCACACUUUCCUAACCUGUUGUUCAAACUCCGGAUGUGACACCCACACAUUUUAUUCACUUUUAGCUUAUAAGAUAACAAUAUAAAAUUUUAUUCACUUUUUACACAAAAAAAAUCGAAAUGCCCUUAAAAUAAAAAUUAAAAAAAGUACUCACCCCAACCCAUCAUCUCUCUCUCCUUUUUCGUCGUUCCUCACGCCGCCUCCUCCGAUAGCGAAUCGUCGUCGCAUCGUCUUCCCCGGCUAUAACGGAGAAUCGCAGGUGGCGACUGGUAUGAAUUACAAGCUCGUGAUCUCUACCAAGGAUGGCGCCGCAGCCGCCCCUAAAACCUAUACCGUCGAAUUCCAAUUGGUUCUUCGUGAAUAGCUAGAGGAAUUGAAUGAAUUGGCUGAUUUGUGGCAAUGGCGGUGGCGUCCUCCGGCAAUUGUGUGGCAUGAAGAGGAAUUGGUUGAUUUGCUGCAAUGGCGGUGGGUAGUGCUGUAAAUUCGGGUUGCGGGUAUCGGGUAUACCCUCACCCGUCCCGAUACCUGCGCGGGUAUCGGGUACCCGAUACCCGCAAAUUGGGAGGGUCGGGUGGGGUAUCAUCUCAAAAAUCGCGGGUAGAGGGUACCCGCGGGUACCCACAUACCCGCAAUAAAUAUUUAAAAAAUAAAAUUAAAUAAUUUUAUUUAAUAAUAUUAGGAAUUAAACCAAUUAACCAAAAUUAAAUAUUAGGAAUUAAACCAAUUUUAUUAGGAAUUAAACCAAUAAAUAUUAGGAACUAAACCAAUAAAUAUUAGGAAUUAAACCAAUAAUAUUAGGAAUUAAACCAAUAAAUAUUAGGAAUUUAUAAUAAUAUUAGGAAUUUAAAUAAAUAUUAGGAAUUAAACCAAUAAUAUUAGGAAUUUUAUUUAAUAAUACUAGGAAUUAAACCAAUAAAUAUUAGGAAUUAAACCAAUUUUAUUUAAUAAUAUUAGGAAUUAAACCAAUUAACCAAAAUUUAAAAAUAAAAUUAAAUAAUUUUAUUUAAUAAUAUUAGGAAUUUUAUCCGUCACAGGUUUUUAUGGAUAAUCGAUGAAAUAGAAAGAAUAUUUUCAAUUUUUUUUGUGAAAUGCGGGACAAAAUACCCUCUCGCAGGACGAAAAACCCUCCAGCGGGACCAAAAACCCGCAAAAUUACAAUUUAAAAAAAAAUUGCGGGACUGUGAGGGUACCCUCAUACCCGCAGCGGGUAUCCGCUGCGGGUAUUCGGGUACCCGCAUCGGGGAAGAGGGUCUGGUGAGGGUGCGGUUUUCGGCAGUUUUCGUCCCGCGGGUACCCGCGGGUACCCGAUUUUACACCCCUAGCGGUGGGGGAUUCGAGAUGCUCCAGAUUUAUUCAAUUAUGAAAAAUAGAUUUUAGAAAAAGAGAUAUCUUUUUUUUGGUAGCAAUUUUGAUUUGAAGUAGGCGAAUGUGCCUAAUGUAUUAGGUUUUGUUUUGGUGCUUGCCAGCCUGUGAUAAUACUAACAAAGCUCACUUUGUGGUGUUUAUUUGGUUUGGAUAGAUUUAUUAAUAUUAAUUAGAAUGUGUUCAUAGCUCUCCCUCUCUUCUUUUGGGUGACUUUUUGUGGCUGGUAGAUUGAAAAUUGAUUAAUGUUUUUGAAUUCACAACUAAAUGUUUUUGAAUUCACGAUCAGAUCUAUGAAUUCACAACUUGAUAUUCUUAAAUUUACAACCAGAUAUAUGAAUUCACAACUAAAUGUUCUAAAAUUCACAACCAACUUUUAUUGCUGGUUGUGAAUUCAAACUUUAAAAUUCAAAUUCACGACUAUUUGAAUUCACAACCAAAAUAAUCCCUGGUUGUGAAUUCGAGUUUUAAAGUUCGAAUUCACAAUUAGUUGUUUUGAUUGUGAAUUCUCGAAUUCACAACCAGUUUGAUGAAUUCAUGGCUGAAUUGUUAGUGUUAGUUGUGAAUUCGAGUUUUAAAUCUCGAAUUCACAACCAACUCUAUUGUUGUGAAUUCACAACUAAUGUCUUUAGUUGAAUUCAAACUUUAAAACUCAAAUUCACAACUACUUGAAUUCACAACCAAAAUAAAUUUUGGUUGUGAAUUCCAUUGGAUUGUGAAAUGCAGAAAUUUUUUAAAGGUGGUGUUGAAGGGGUAAAAUGGUAAGGGUGUGUAUUUUUUUAAGUUUUUUAUCUUAGUGGGUAAUUUUUAAGUUUAUUAAAAGAAAUAAGCUAUUUUUAAAAAUCCACUCUUAUUUAUUUGCAGUACAAUAAAUUUAUUACCAUCAAUAUAUUAAAAUUAUGGUCGUGUAUAAUAAAAUUAUAAAUAACUUAGAAACAAUUAAAGAAUAAAAAUAAAAAGAUACAGGCAUCAAAUUCAAAAAACCAACCUCGAAGUGGGAUGAAAAAAUAUAAUCAAACAUGAUACAAACUAGUAUAUCACAACUGCUGAUACACAAACUAUAUCACAACUGCUGCACAAUAAAUCAUCUUAGUUGAGGAGAAGAAACAUCUCUCUUUGGCUAAGCAAUACACAAAGAAGUCUAAAUUACACUGCAGCUUACACACGACGUCCUCAAGCACGUGUCUGCAAUGCUUCUAACGCCUGAUACUUUGAAUGCCACUGACUCAUACUCAGUCUGUUGAUAUCGAAUAGUAUCCUUGUCAAGUGAAGUCAAUCAUUGAGAGUUCAGGGCGUACUCUUGUUCCUUGGUCACUUGCUUGUUGAUGACCCUCAUCCGGGGUAACUGCAGUAGUCUCAGAUGCUAUCGGGGCACUUACCUCGGUACCAUUAGACUCUGCAACACUCUGUACUGAUGCUGGCUGCUCCUGGUGUUCCACAUUAUUAUGAUCUGAUGGAGGGCCAUGGUCGCUGGAUUCAGUGACUGGUGGGGCAGAAGAAUCUGGCUCCAAUUGUGGAGGAGCAAUUGACUCUGAAGUCGUACUAGCAGAUUCAGACGUAGGUGGAGCAGCAGGAGCCCCCGUAGAGUUCUGUGAAGAACCUGAUUCAGUUGAGGGCAGACCAUUGGACUCUGAAGAAGUGGUUAUGGGUGUGGCUGCAGGCGCUUCUAAUAGCAAAGGUUUGCUAGGUUGCUGCUGCGAACUUGGAAGGGUAAGACCUGGCUUUUUCUGACCAGACUGGCCAGGAUUAGGACCAUACAAAGUCGCCAUUCCAGGUGGCAGAAUUUCGAAUUGGUGGCUUCUUGGCUGCAUCCUGCAGGCUUGUGAUCUUUGAUUCCUCGAGAGAAGCCAAAAAUGCAGCUGCUGCAUCCAUUUUGGUGGAUGGGGUGUGCUCCAGCUCUUUUUGCAGUGUUUUAUUCCAGGCUUGAACCAAGCUUCUCAAUGUUGGUCGACCAUGAGCCUACAGAAAACAGCUUGUUAUGGUUAGGUCUAUAGACUUAGUUUGCAGUAACUUCUAUAAGGCUACAUAUAUCAUACGUGAGCAUGGAGAACAGCCUCAGCGAGCAUUCCCGUCUCCUGCCAAGCCUUCUCCAUGAGUAUGUUAUCUCCCAAGAGGGCAGCUGCAAAAGCAGCUUCUCUUCCUGAACCAACUGAGAUCAAAUUGUUCACCAAAUUCUGCAAAAUUUGCAAACAUAGUGACUCAUCAACAUAUAAGAGGAGAUCAAAAAGUUAAAAACAUGAUGUUUCCAAUCUCAAGAAGUAGAAUCAUCCUAUAGAGAUUUUUUUUCAAUAAAUGUUUAUAACCAGUUCUUGAUCUAGCAUAUAAGGUGGUAUUAGAACAUAAAAUGAAAUGAUUUUGUUUUAACCUUCCUAUGCUGAAGACUAUCCAUAUGACUUAGAAUUACUCAAAGCAGGGCGUAUAAAUUAUAGGUUCAGGUCAGAAACCACUGAAACUAGUAGCAUUUUGAGAGAUAUGAGCCACUGUUUACAUGGUAUGCCUAGACUCAACUGGGAAGGCCCUGUACGAAAAGGUUCAAAGGCAUUCUGUAGUUGCAUCAUCUAAAAAGUUCAAAUCAUUUAUUUACUAAAACUGAAUUUGUUAUGUUAACAUAAUGUGCUUCUAUGAGAACCCAUUAAUAAAGCUAUAGAUCUCACAGUAGCAUGCAAACAGCUAUAAACAAAAAAUGUGUGGGUGCAAAGUGGAAAAAACUCCAAGGUUCAGAUGGGUAGUUGUAAGUAUCCCUGAUGGUAGCCUAUAAGAAUUAUUGACAAAUAGAUACAUACACUGAGACGUGUCAACUCUCCAUGAUUUGCAAGGCGCAGUGAGAGCCCUCUUAUCUCAUGGCCUUGCAAAGCUCCUUUCACAGAACCUGCAGCAGCUAAUCUCUUAAGAGCUUCACGAGCUAUGUCAGCUUGUCCAGUGGCAUCUGCAGCAUCAAUAAGUUCCUGGAACUCCUUCGCAAACUUCACUACUCCUUGAACAGCAUCCACAACAUUUUCCUUCUUUGAGGACAAAUUUAUUAUGUCAUUCAAGUUCAACCCCAAAGCUUCUUGCCCAAUAUCUCUACUGUUGCUCAUGAUCAGAAGGCAUUGUAGGGCUCUCUUCAAAUCAUUACUCUGCAUUGCUAGAUCAAAUUCCAGUCUUUUGGAUAUGCCAGGCAAGUGAAGAGCUUCAGUGGCAUAACCCAUUCCUAGCAUAAAUUGAGCUAAAUCAUCAUGAUCUUCUCUACCAAGCCUACUCGCCCAUUUCACAGCACUAACAGCAUCACCAUAUGCUGCAAGACAUCUACAACGGAUACCUGGAUGGUUGAGUGAUAUUGCAUGAGCAGACAUGUACCUGUCAAUUAGCCAGAGAACACCGUCUCUUACUCCAACAACAAGAAGAGGUCCAACUGGUCGUUUUUGUUCGGCUGGGAAUCUAGUAACAGCAACCGCAACCCCACCACCACCCACAGCAACUUCAUUAACUUUUCUUUCCUCCAUCUCUUUAGGUAUUGGCGAAUCAAUUCCUUCAACUUUAGAUUGUUUAGGCAAUGUUAAGAAGGGAGGUAUUGAGGGAGCAUGCUGAAACGAAGCUAGACGCACAACCUGUAACAUAGGAGGCCUUAAUGCUAUCCUUUCCUGUGAAGCAGCCUGUUGACUAUCAACGAUAUUAAUGCCAAUUCUCCAUGCUCAGCAAUUGCUCUUGACUGCAUCUCUUUAAGCCGUAUCUCUGCUUUCUUUCGUUUAGUUUCUAUAUCAAUAGGUGCAAUACCAGCAUCCACAAAAACACACUCAAUGGUGGUUGGUGUAGCAACAAAUAAUUGCCUUCGGUGCCAUACACCUCCAGUAGCAUAAGGAAUUGCAACAUCUCCUAGGUAUCGAAACUGAGGACGCAACGAAGAUAUGACAAUAUAUUGUUGGUAGGCAAAAGCACAAUAUUCAACAGUUUGAUCCCAUGCAGUCCAUUCAGGUUGAGGAAGAAGACCUCCCACUGGUUCAAAGGUUUCCCAGCUGUAAAGUUGAAAAUUAGGAGGUGCAGCUUCAGCAGUAGUUUUUUGUGAAGAAUAUCCAUCAUCCACGGUGCUGAAAGAAGAAUUGGGACUACUUCCAAAUCCUGACAAGGGCAUGGACUGAAUCGUAGAAAUAGAUGUGGCAGCAACAGGGCUUAUUCGUCGAGAUGUC
RNAcentral lists this long non-coding RNA (7003 nucleotides) under Salvia miltiorrhiza (redroot sage). RNAcentral's name for it is "long non-coding RNA (SMIL_LNC004578)". The record is from RNAcentral. Lineage: Eukaryota; Viridiplantae; Streptophyta; Magnoliopsida; Lamiales; Lamiaceae.